GGAUGUGAGGGAGAUCUGGCUGCAACAUCCGUCACCCCAUUGAUCGCCAGGGUUGAUUCCACUGAUCUGGCUGGCUAGGCCCGUGCCCGCUUCUGCCCUCGUGUGUCCCUCCCAAAGCUGCGCACUUGGUGGAAGAGAACAGCCUUCCCUGGACAGAGGCAGAGCAGUCUGUGGCCAAGGGUAUAUGAAUAGCUGCGCUCCCUGCUAGAACCUCCAAACAAGCUCUCAAGAACACAUGCGCAAGUGGGAAUGGUGCAUAGGGCAGCGGAUAAGUGGGUGAAGCUCUACCACAUCUGCUUAAAUGCUAAGACCC
This 313-nucleotide small nuclear RNA is filed under the name Microtus ochrogaster (prairie vole). RNAcentral's name for it is "7SK RNA (ENSMOCG00000011626.1)". It matches the Rfam family "7SK RNA". From Rfam's summary of the family: 7SK was discovered as an abundant small nuclear RNA in the mid-70s but a possible function has only recently been suggested. Two independent studies have found that 7SK RNA binds the CDK9/cyclin T complex (known as elongation factor P-TEFb). Lineage: Eukaryota; Metazoa; Chordata; Mammalia; Rodentia; Cricetidae. The record is from RNAcentral.